CCUACGGGAGGCAGCAGUGGGGAAUAUUGCACAAUGGAGGAAACUCUGAUGCAGCGACGCCGCGUGAACGAUGAAGGCUUUCGGGUCGUAAAGUUCUGUCCUUGGGGACGAUAAUGACGGUACCCAAGGAGGAAGCCCCGGCUAACUACGUGCCAGCAGCCGCGGUAAUACGUAGGGGGCAAGCGUUGUCCGGAUUUAUUGGGCGUAAAGGGUUCGCAGGUGGCCUUUUAAGUCAGAUGUGAAAGAUCAAGGCUUAACCUUGGUAAGCAUUUGAAACUGAAAGGCUUGAGUUAAGGAGAGGAAAGUGGAAUUCCUAGUGUAGCGGUGAAAUGCGUAGAUAUUAGGAGGAAUACCAGUGGCGAAGACGACUUUCUGGAUUUAUACUGACACUGAGGAACGAAAGCAUGGGGAGCAAACAGGAUUAGAUACCCUGGUAGUCCAUGCCGUAAACGAUGAGUGCUAGGUGUCGGGGGUCAAACCUCGGUGCCGGAGCUAACGCAUUAAGCACUCCGCCUGGGGAGUACGUACGCAAGUAUGAAACUCAAAGGAAUUGACGGGGACCCGCACAAGCAGCGGAGCAUGUGGUUUAAUUCGAAGCAACGCGAAGAACCUUACCAGGACUUGACAUGGUAUUGACCGGUCUAGAGAUAGAUCCUUCCCUUCGGGGACAAUACACACAGGUGGUGCAUGGUUGUCGUCAGCUCGUGUCGUGAGAUGUUGGGUUAAGUCCCGUAACGAGCGCAACCCUUGUCUUUAGUUGCUAACAGGUAAUGCUGAGCACUCUAGAGAGACUGCCGAUGAUAAAUCGGA
Molecule: ribosomal RNA, 810 nt
Filed under: uncultured bacterium
Lineage: Bacteria
Description: bacterial SSU rRNA
Rfam family: Bacterial small subunit ribosomal RNA
Source: RNAcentral